Molecule: long non-coding RNA, 35981 nt
Filed under: Solanum tuberosum (potato)
Lineage: Eukaryota; Viridiplantae; Streptophyta; Magnoliopsida; Solanales; Solanaceae
Description: long non-coding RNA (STUB_LNC007631)
Source: RNAcentral
AAUGAUUUAGCAUGAGUCGUGGCAAGUAUUUUCAGUUGAGGUUUGAACAUUUAACGUAUAAAGUUUAAACUCCAAUUCAAAAUACUUACCACGACUCGAGCUGAACAUCUAACCUAUGCUAAGUAAGUAAUUUUUGGAAUUCAUCUUUCAAAACAUGUUUUUAUACCAGAAAACACCUUUAUCUUGAGAUCCUUUAUCGAUCUUUCUCCACAUAGAUGCACUCAUUUGUAUCCCUCCAAUAUGUAAGCCUUUUGUAGAAAAUUAAAUUUCAUAUAUAUAUAUAUAGACUUUGUAUUCUUUAUGAUGUUUCAAUCUGAUUGCUGAUCGAAUAUGACAAAUUCCAUGAGAAAGUUAAAUUUUGGAUAGGGAAGCUAAGUCUUAUAUGUCUAUGUAAAGCAAGAAUAAUAUUUCAAUUAUAUAGAAGACUCAUAGCAUAAACGAAAAAUGACAUUUUUUUCGUAAAUUUGAUUUUAUAUAAUGUAAAAUUAUAAUCAUAUAUGAUGUAUGAGAGGUUAAAAUGAAAUUCUAGAAAGAUCUAAUUUUCUAUUUCAAGCUCCUCCAGAAAAGACUUAUUCCACAUGUGACACAAGACAUUUUAGUGCAACUUCUCGAAGCAGAUCAACAUAGAUUUAGUUAUCCAAAUUGAUAAUAACAUGGAAGUAGAUAUUGGAGGGUAAAAAACUUGGAUUUUCACUCAAUUUUAGAUAAUUGAUCAUCGCAUUCAAUUAUUUAACUUUGUUAUGUCUUUUAAAAGUUAUUCAACUUUAUUGAAUUGACUUUCCGGGUAUUAUUUUUUAAAAUAUAAUUUUUGAUAACUAUUUAAUGACGUGACAAUCAUAAAUUUUAAAUUUUUUUUUUAAGAUUUUACAAUCAGUAUUGAGGAACUUUUGCAUAUAGCCACUUAAAAAUAGCCUAAUUACUCUCCAUAGUUAUUGUUUGAUAAUUACAAUUCGUAGCUACAUGUUAUAAGGAGGAGAGAGGCGAGUGAGAGAGGGAGGAGAGUGGGAGAGAGGUGAAGUGUAUAUGUAUAUCGGUUAGAUAAUUGUAUAUUAUACAUAUGUAUUUGUAUAUAUGACAAGCGAGAUUGGUUGUAUAUAUGACAAGCGAGAUUGGGAGAGGGAGGAGAGAGGCGAGCGAGAUUGGGAGAGGGAGGAGAGAGGUGAGCGAGAGUGGGAGAAGAAUUUCAUUUAGAUUUGAGGUGAAAGAGUUGAAGCACCUACCUGUAAGCCAUAAAGGAAGUCUACAUAUACUAUAUCUGUAAAACUAAAAUUUUGACAUAACUAAAUAGUGUAAUUUUUGGUGAAAGCUGGGGCUCGGCGGCAGAAUUCUCAACAUUAGCUAAAUAUAUUUGUUUUUGUGUGUGAUAAUAAAAUGAGCUAUUCUGAAAUUAAAAAUAAUAAUUGUUAUAUGAUUAUCAGUUUAGGUAGAGAUAUUGAUGGAGGCUAUUAUUGAUUCUUGUGAUAUAAGUUGGUGAAAAGGCAAACUUCUGUUGUUGUUUGGGAUACUUAUGUGAAACAAGGUUCGUAACAGGCUAUUUUUCUUUGCUUUGUCAUUUAUGUUGCAGAUGAUGGUUCCGAUUCUGAUUCAGAUGCAGAUGAUACUGAUCUUGUAAGGAAGUCAAAAGCUAUUGAUGAUGAAUGAAAGGAAAAGAGAGGAGGAGGAUGGUGAUUUAGAAUUGCAGCUCAAUAUUAAAGAAGAAGCUGAUGAGUUCAGACUGCCAGCACCUGAGGCUUGCAUAAUGUUCAAGUUCUUGAUUAGAGGUUUUACUUGUCAGAUGGGAAAAAUUAUGAAUGCUAAAUGUCACGACCCAAACCGAGUCGUGAGUGGCACCCACACUUAACUUCCUAAGUGGGCGAACCAAGGAAUCUAACCCCAACAUAUAUCAAUAAUUCAACUACGAAUAACAAUAUAAAUGCGGAAGCUCAAAACUUGUUAAAGUAACCAAUCAAAUCACCCUCUAAAGUCAAUUACACAUUAUCCCCAAAACCUGAAAGUCAUCACAUCAAAGACAUCUAAUCUUCAAAUACUAAGUCUAAGAGUAUUAAAAACACCAAAAUAAAUGAAUAAAAUAGUUUAUGUCCGAAAACUAAGGACAUCAUGUCAUGACCAAGAGAAUCCAACACGAGUUGGAAUGAAUAGCUCACCCUGGAGCUUGAUAUGCUGAGACUAGCUAGCGCUGAGGGGGAGUCAAAGUCGCUGGUACACUCGCUGCACUCCAUAAAAGGAAAACAAAGAAAAAUACAAGUAGGGCUCAAUACGGGACAACAUGUACUGAGUAGGUAUCAUCGGCCAACCCAAAAUAGAAACUAAUAUACAAUGAAUAAUAGUAUAAAGUCAACUAUAGCACUUAGCAGGUGAUAAGAAACAACAACAUGAACAAGUGACAGUUGAAGCAAGUACGUAAUCAAUCACAAUAUCAAGCACACACACGAGGACUCAUGCCUCCACAUCACACUCGUUUGGGAAAUGCGUUCAUUGAGAUUGAGUACAUUAAGUUAAUUCAAUAUCUUUUUCCUUUAAUGUUACCGUGUCAGAACGUGACACUCCGAUCCAAAAAUAUCGUGUCGGAACGUGACACUCCGAUCCAAAAAAACUGUGUCGGAACGUGAUACUCCGAUCCAAAAAUAUCGUGUCGGAACGUGACACUCCGAUCCAAUAAUAUUAUUAAUUUAUCACUUAUUAUCAUCACUUUUCAAUUCAUUAAUAAUAUUACAUCAAGCCUUCUUUAUUCAAGGCAUCACUUCGAUAGGGAGGUUUUCAGAUUAUAAAUCUCACGGUCUCAGGAUUUUAGACCAAUCACAAACCACACAACCAAGCCACACAAUCACUCAAUCAAGUACAUAGAGAACUUCACAGUAUCAUUCAAUGCAUAUCAAUCGCUAUUAAGAGUUUAUCUAUCAAAUAGAAUAAACCAUAACCUACCUCCACCGAAGAACCGAAGUCAAGCAAGCUACUUUUCCAAUACUUUUUGCUUUCUUCCAUGACUCCGAACCUUUCCAAUCUAUCAAGUAGAUAUGCAUAAUUUGUAAGUUAACGAAUCUAUUAACACUCAUAUUAUUCUGUGUCUCUCCUAAACCCAAAAACUCACCUAAUUCUAUAAUCAAUUUAAUAUAUUCUUGAGUCAUACCAAGAUAACUAUAGAAACAUUGGAACAUUUACUUAAGUGCCACUAACAGUAACCCCAACUACGAACAUAAACAACUGAGAAAACAAUUUAACAGCCCCAUGACCCAAUCAAAUUUUAACAUAUAAAUAUUAACGUGUGCUACCAAUCAUUACUCUGUCUGGCCUAACUUUUCUCUCAACCUUCAUCGGACAACAAUUACUAUACAUAUGCCAAUUAAUACUCCCACUUUAGAAUAAAAUAAUGGGAAAAUGCAUAAGUACCCCUUAGCCUAUGCCCAAAAUUCCUGAGACACACCUAACCUUUACUAAGGUCCUAUUACUUCUCGAACUUAUUUUAUAUAUAAUUUUCUACCCCUUUUCGGCCUACGUGGCACUAUCCUUGAAAAAAAUGUCAACAUGCGCUGGGCCCACAAGACAGUGCCAUGUAGGCCAAAAAGGGGUAAAAUAUUACAUAUAAAAUAAGUUCGGGGGGGGUAAUAGGACCUUAGUAAAGGUUAGGUGUGUCUCAGGGAUUUUGGGCAUAGGCUGGGGGGGNNNNNNNNNNNNNNNNNNNNNNNNNNNNNNNNNNNNNNNNNNNNNNNNNNNNNNNNNNNNNNNNNNNNNNNNNNNNNNNNNNNNNNNNNNNNNNNNNNNNNNNNNNNNNNNNNNNNNNNNNNNNNNNNNNNNNNNNNNNNNNNNNNNNNNNNNNNNNNNNNNNNNNNNNNNNNNNNNNNNNNNNNNNNNNNNNNNNNNNNNNNNNNNNNNNNNNNNNNNNNNNNNNNNNNNNNNNNNNNNNNNNNNNNNNNNNNNNNNNNNNNNNNNNNNNNNNNNNNNNNNNNNNNNNNNNNNNNNNNNNNNNNNNNNNNNNNNNNNNNNNNNNNNNNNNNNNNNNNNNNNNNNNNNNNNNNNNNNNNNNNNNNNNNNNNNNNNNNNNNNNNNNNNNNNNNNNNNNNNNNNNNNNNNNNNNNNNNNNNNNNNNNNNNNNNNNNNNNNNNNNNNNNNNNNNNNNNNNNNNNNNNNNNNNNNNNNNNNNNNNNNNNNNNNNNNNNNNNNNNNNNNNNNNNNNNNNNNNNNNNNNNNNNNNNNNNNNNNNNNNNNNNNNNNNNNNNNNNNNNNNNNNNNNNNNNNNNNNNNNNNNNNNNNNNNNNNNNNNNNNNNNNNNNNNNNNNNNNNNNNNNNNNNNNNNNNNNNNNNNNNNNNNNNNNNNNNNNNNNNNNNNNNNNNNNNNNNNNNNNNNNNNNNNNNNNNNNNNNNNNNNNNNNNNNNNNNNNNNNNNNNNNNNNNNNNNNNNNNNNNNNNNNNNNNNNNNNNNNNNNNNNNNNNNNNNNNNNNNNNNNNNNNNNNNNNNNNNNNNNNNNNNNNNNNNNNNNNNNNNNNNNNNNNNNNNNNNNNNNNNNNNNNNNNNNNNNNNNNNNNNNNNNNNNNNNNNNNNNNNNNNNNNNNNNNNNNNNNNNNNNNNNNNNNNNNNNNNNNNNNNNNNNNNNNNNNNNNNNNNNNNNNNNNNNNNNNNNNNNNNNNNNNNNNNNNNNNNNNNNNNNNNNNNNNNNNNNNNNNNNNNNNNNNNNNNNNNNNNNNNNNNNNNNNNNNNNNNNNNNNNNNNNNNNNNNNNNNNNNNNNNNNNNNNNNNNNNNNNNNNNNNNNNNNNNNNNNNNNNNNNNNNNNNNNNNNNNNNNNNNNNNNNNNNNNNNNNNNNNNNNNNNNNNNNNNNNNNNNNNNNNNNNNNNNNNNNNNNNNNNNNNNNNNNNNNNNNNNNNNNNNNNNNNNNNNNNNNNNNNNNNNNNNNNNNNNNNNNNNNNNNNNNNNNNNNNNNNNNNNNNNNNNNNNNNNNNNNNNNNNNNNNNNNNNNNNNNNNNNNNNNNNNNNNNNNNNNNNNNNNNNNNNNNNNNNNNNNNNNNNNNNNNNNNNNNNNNNNNNNNNNNNNNNNNNNNNNNNNNNNNNNNNNNNNNNNNNNNNNNNNNNNNNNNNNNNNNNNNNNNNNNNNNNNNNNNNNNNNNNNNNNNNNNNNNNNNNNNNNNNNNNNNNNNNNUGAAGCAUUACCUGGAUGGCAGUCGCUACUGGUUGAUGCCGCAGGGUGUUUCUCUCGUUUAGUCUUUUUAAUUAUCUAGGGUAACUAAUUAUGAACAAAUAAAUAUUAAAUCUAACUACUUUUAAUGUUAUCUUCUUUAACCACCAACUAAAUUAAUUAUUAAAACUACCCCACUAAUUCCAUAUUGUAGUUACGAAUAGUCCAAAUACUCAUUUAGAAUCUAUCGAAAGAGUCUUAUGAAAUAAAAAGCUUUAGUACUCAAAACGAUCAAACGGGUCGUUACACUAAAUAUGUCAUUUUAACUUUAGGAGCUCGAAGAAGAAACAAAUAGACCCCCGGAUCUCUCUAAUCUCCAAAGGAGGAUAAAAGAGAGUGAGUUUCUUUUCCUUCAUCUUCUCUUUCUGAAUUAUCUUUCUUCGGAGGAAGUAAGUUUCUCAUUCACAUAUAAUAAAAUAAAUGCAGUUGUUCGGGUGCUUUCAAAUUUCAAGUCAUUGAGGCAAGAAGAUGUGACAGGUAAGGAUUAUGUUGAUCAACUUAAAAGGGACUUGGGUUCAUACAAUGAUUUUCUCAUUGAAUCGUUAGUGGAGGUAAUUCUAAGUCAAAGUAGUCUAGAAUCUGCACCUUUUGCCUUUUCAAGUUGCACUUUCAUUUAAAUCUGGAUUUCUUGAUAUGUGACCUUACUGCAGCUGUUCCCCCUGUUGAGUUGAUUGAACUUAUUGAAGCAUUUGAAAAGCCCCGGCCAAUUUCUAUGUGGACAAACACUUUAAAGGUCAUGGUUUCUCUGCCUCUUUUCUAUCUUUACCUUUUGUUGCUCUAAUGGUUGACUCAUAGUUAUUGCGUCAACCGGAUUUCAGACUCGCAGACGGGAUUUAGCAGGUGUUCUUCUUAACAGAGGUGUCAAUUUGGAUCCACUAAGCAAAUGGUCAAUUUGGAUCCACUAAGCCUCUGUGUUUUGUUUGGGUUGACCCAUUAUUUAAGUAUCAAUUUGGAUUUGUUAUUUCUUAUUUUUAUAUGUAUCAUUACUUAUUUCAGCUUAUGCAUUGUUUAUUUUGUAGGUUGGACUAGUUGUAUAUGAUUCUCAAUUUCCAGUUGGUGCAACUCCUGAGUAUAUGGCUGGUCACUAUAUGGUAUCCUGACAUUACACUUUAAAUGAUGUCUUUGCUCUUAGUACGCAACUGUAAUGCUUAUUUCUAAUAAAUAACUUGCUUACAGCUCCAAAGUGCGAGUUCAUUUCUGCCUGUAAUGGCCCUUGCCCCUCAAGAGAAUGAACGUAUUGUUGAUAUGGCGUAAGUAAAUAAUUUUGUCUAACAAAUGUUUGCUUCAAUUGUCUAUCAUUGAAUUUUUCACCAUCCAAUAUGUUUUUAAUCCAGAUCUUUUUUGAUUUAUUGCCCUUUCAUAAUCUUAAAUGUAUCGGUAAGAAAUUAAAAAGCUUGAUCGCUGAAAGAGUUGUACGGUGCAUAUUUAGAUAGUAUAGGAAAAAACUAAUUGAGAGAAAUAAAGCAUCUUCUGUUCCUCUCAGUUGUAAUUUCUACUUUCUUUAAAUCAGCAUCUUUGCGUUGGAUAUAGCUUUGUCAGUCUUAGGUUUAACUAAUCUAUUUUUAGUAUCUUUCUUGUGAGAGGAAGCUAAAACAAUUUCUGUGAACUUUUUAGUUAUUAGCUCAGUAAGCAGAAAAGUGGAUUUUUUUUGGUAACUUCUGUUCUUCUAAAGUGGGAAAACUUGUAAAUGGUGCAGUGCUGCUCCUGGAGGCAAAACAACUUAUGUUGAUGCACUGAUGAAAAAUAGUGGUAUGUAUUCAUUUACAGUCGAUCAUGUUGUAUUUUUGUGAAGAAAUCCAUUUUCUCCAUAAUUCAUCCAUAAUUUCUGGAAUACGUAUGGUUGAAUGAUUUUUCAAUACAUUUUUCUCCCCUGGUGUUAGUAUCCAUUAUCUUCAUUUCCUUGAAAAAUAUCUUUGUUUUUACAUUUCUUGCACUGCUUAUUUCUAAUGCAGUGAACCAAAAUAUACUGGGUGCUUUCGUUCUAUUUUACUAUGCGCUCAUGUUCAUUGUUCUUACCCAAAGUAGUUUAUGUGAAACACCGUGUUCUAUUUUUGUGAAGUAAUCCAUUUUCUCCAUAAUGCAUCCAUAGUUUCUAGAUACCUAUGGGUGAAUGAAUUUUAAAAACAUUUUUCUCCCCUGGUGUCAAUAUCCAUUAUCUCCAUUUCCUUAAAAAGAAUUCUUAGUUUUUCCAUUUCUUGCACUGCUAAUUUCUAAUGCAGUGAACCAAAUAUACUGGGUGCUUCUGUUCUAUUUUACUAUGCGCUCAUGUACAAUUGUACAUCAUUCUUACUCAAAGUAAUUUAUGUUAACUUGUGCUGCUAAUCUGUUUGCUUUCUCUAGUGAAAUUUCUUCAGUUUUUUUGUUGGUUCUCAAAAAUCGGUUGUAUUGAAUGAACAUCUUAUCCUGAUGUGUCUUAUAUAAUGUUUAUGCUUAUCUUAUAAUCCAUGUAUCACAUAUUGAUGUCGCUUACUCACCUCUGAGAAACCUGUUUCAUGGUCAAUUUUCAUUUGCAGGAACUGAUACUUGCAGCAAUUGACAUGGUCGAUGCCAACUCAAAAUCAGGUGGAUACAUAGUGUAUUCUACCUGCUCCGUUAUGGUUGAUGAGGUAUCUUUUUAAACUUAUAUUUCUUAUGAAUCUUAUAAUAAAGGGUACCCUCCCAAGUGUUUGUAUGCAGAUCUUAUAAUCAUGCCAAGCAAACAUUUCAUCUUUUUAUGAAGCUUGUGGAAAUUGAAAUGAUUAUGAUUUUCUUACUUCAUAAAAGAUUAAAGAAAUGGUUACGGUUAAAGGGAUUCAAAAAUUAAUUGGGACUGACGGAUGUAAAAACUUAUGAAAGAUUAUAAACCAUCUUCUUUGAAGUUGCUGCAAGUUUGUUUCAGCUGAGAAUAUUUUGCCCCACGUGCCCCUUUUUUUUCCAGUUGAAAAAGAUGAGCAAUUCCAAGUCUGCUGCAAAAGCGUCAGCUCAGUCCGAAGAAAUACAAGAUGCUGAUUCCAUUGAGAGCAGUGACCAGCAGAAUGCUGAAGGGGAUGAUGACAAGCAUUCAGAGCAAGAAGGCAUUGCAAAAGAGAACGGAAAAUUGAAUGAAAAAGCAGCAGCUGAUAAAAAGAGGAAGACUAAUCUAUAUAUAAUGCUAGGUGAUGUUAUAUAUAUUGUAGUCUGUAUUCACUGUAUCAAAGCAAUCCAUAUAUCAAUUGACAACCAUAACAAAGUAAAUAAAUAAAACAUAGACAACUCUAGCUAGCUAGAACUCAGCACAAGAAAGAAGCAACAUCAAAAUGUGUUAGAUGUUGUUCAUGCAGUACUAGUUCUUUCAUUUAAGGUUCUCUCAUGCUUCAAUAGGAUCAAUUAGCACCAUAGAGAUGACAUCUUUCAAGUUAUUUUUCGAAAAAGUAUAAGCAUCCUCAUCUUUAUAAAAAAACUCUGCCACCCUCGUAAGAUUGAGCACUGGCAUAAGCAAAACUCUUGGUACUGUUGUAGGUUUUAGACAUCCUCUAUUCAAAUCCUUCCAAUUAAUCUCUAUUAUUUUCCUUAUCUCCAUGUAAGCUUCUUCUGUUGUUGCACCAUGCUCAUUCAUGUAACAUUCGAUACCCGAAGCUACAUCUCCUCUUUCCACCUCUAUCUGUAUCCAUAAUAUAAUUAGACAAACAAGUUAAAAUAAUAAGAAAUAUUACUUCAUAUUCAAUUUGUAUGUCACACUUAGCUUCCUAUUAAUCCUUGAGUUAUUAUUUACGCGUACAAUAUAAUACCUCAUGUGUUACGAGAUCAUUCAGUAAUCUUGCAAUGAUACACGAAGCUAUUUGACUCGAAGGUUCAUUCGAUAUCCAAUCAAACGCGUCCUUAGUUGCUGCAUCUCCCAUGCCUAACCAAGAAGUAGUGGCAAGCAAUAGGUAAGUACUAGAUGGAAUUCCAUUCUUUAUAUACUGUUCCAUUGUUGGCACAUCCUUCGCAUGAUACCAUUUGGCCUCUUGGAAGUAAGCCUUCAACAACUUUUUCAUCUGAAAAAAGUAACAAACUUUAAAUUCCGACUCCCUCUCUGACUAUAUUUUCAUCAAUCAGUAAUAAUUCUUAAUUACCUCAUUUAUGGAAUAUUUGACUCGGAAUGUCUUAUUUCCAAGAUUUUCCAAUUCUCUCUCUGUUUCAUUGUAAACUUGUAGAAGAGCACGGUAGGAGAGUUUCAUAUAUGGCGGUAAUUGUUCUGAAGCAUCAAUGUCCCACCUACACAUAUAUAUUUGCAAAAUUGCUUAUAGUAGUGAAUUAAUGGUUCAUUUUUUUUUCUCCACCUAGCUAAUUAUUUUUAAAAGUGUUGUAAUAAGCUAUUGAUUGACGUGAGAAAAGAAUUUAAACCUUUCAAUUGCCGUUGUGAGGAGAGUAAGUUCAUCAAGUGUACCAUAGGUAUCGUAAGUGUCAUCCAUAAUAGAACAGAAGCACAACACUUUGGUUAAUAUUUUCCUUGCAACACUAUAUUGAGGCACAAAGUAUACACCUAAACUCCAAAAGUAUAAUUCAACCACUCUAUCUCUUGCAAAAGGUAGUGCCUGCGCGAUUUCUGAUUCUUUCCACCACCUAAAAUGUAAAGAGGAAAUUAUAUUUGCAAGAUUUAAUUAUACAGGAAACUAUAUAAGUUAAAUUGGUUGAUAUGAUUAAAAUAGUGAAUGUGUAACUUGUCAAUUACCUUGUGAUAUCACAUAGCUCCUUUUUGUGCAGCCUUUGUAAGAUGUUGAAGUCCAAUUUAGCAAAAUUUAGUAACAUUUCAUUGUGUGAUUCAUCUUCUUGGUAAAAUGAUAUGUAUUUCCUCGUUCCUACCCUCACUAUAAUAUUGUUGAUUGGAAAUUUCAGUGCGUUACUGACUUGAGUCGCAAGGGGAUCGCUCAAAUUAGGCAAAAUUAGCUUCAAAUGAGUAGUGGUGAAAUUAAUUGCUUCAUCCAGAAUUUCUUCAUCAUGUACUCUGAAUUGCGCUGCCUCGUACAAGCUUAAUAAUCCUUGUACGUUGCUGGUCAGUGCUUCCUUGUAAUUUCCUUGCUCGUUAAUGAAUUUCCUAAAAGCAUCUGCUCAAAAACAUAUAAGUGACCUGAUUAUGCAAAUAUUUUUUCACCAACAACUUAAAAACUCAUCGCAUAAUGUCUAGUUAAUAUAUGUUUGGGGGGGGGGGGGUACGUACCCGAUGAGACAUAAUAACCUUGUUGCCUAAGUAAUCGAAAGCUUAGAGCAACAGCAUGAAGGUCACUUUCACCAAAUUCACCAAUCCAUUCUUCAUAAUCAUUAAAGAUUUCACUCAAUGAUUGCUCAAUAUAAUGUUCAAAAUGGUAUGCCACUCCAAGCAAUUGGAUUGUGUUUAUAAGUUCAAGUUUUUGCAAAGAUUUGGAAGGAGCCAUCACUAGCAUUUUUCUCACUCCUCCUUUUUUGGUCUUCAUGUUCCUUCUCUUCCCAUUCAUUGGUUCCCUACACAAGUAAAUGUCAAUAUUUGUUUAUAAUAUGAUUUGUUAAAAAUCAUGAAGAAUAUUCACAACAUAAAGUAAUUAAUUACCAAGAGAUUAGCAUAGGCAAGAAAAUGGUCUCCCCAAACAGAAGGAUGAUGAUUGGCACAUCGACGUGUAAUCUCCAUCUCACCACCAAAUCCAACCAUUUUUCUUCUUCUUUCAAGUUACUAGAUGAAGAGAGAAAAAAAUUGAUCAAAUAGGUGUUAUUUGAUAAUUAAGGAGCUCAAAAGACUAACUUAUAAUGGCCAACAGGAAGGAAAAUGUUUUCUAGAAAAAUAAGUUUUUGUUAGUGCAUGUUUGGGCGUAAAGAUUGUAAAAUUUGGAAGAAAGUAAUGUUUGUUUUCAAGUUAAAAAAAGAUAAUUGGAAACAUAUUCCACACUUACUAGUCACUUUUUAUUAGCAAAAUAUACAUAUAGCAAGCUACUUCGAUGCAAAACUGAAUUAUUAAAAGAAAAUCGGAAUAUACCUACUAAUUUCCUUGCUAGUACUUGGCUCUCUUUAAAACUAACAAAUUGUGUCUUCAAUGCAAGUAAUUAGGACAUGAAUCCCUUGCUAUUUAUAAAGCUUUAGUAUACCAAUAGGUUCAUUAAUAUUCCUUUACGUUGAUAGCUUCAUUUUUAUUAUUUGUCACAUCUGAUAUAUUAAGAAAAUGUGAUUUUUUUCAUAUAUUCCCUAAAUCAUUGUUUAAGAUCUAAUACCUAAAUAUCAAUUAAUAAUUAUUUAUAGUAUACUAAAAUAAUCGUAUCAAUUAUUGUUUUGUUAAGAAGUAUGUCAUAUUUAAAUAUAACAAGUGCUCCUCGUAUAAUAAAGUUUUUAUAUUAUAGUAUUUCAUCUAUUCCAUAUUAACUUAAUUUUUGAGAAUUUUUUCAUUGUUCAAAAUAAUUGAAUUGUUCAAAGUUUAAGAUCGAUGUUUAAAUUAUUUUCCAUAUUUGCCCUUUCAUUUAUUGAAAAUUUAUACUUUCUAGGAGAUAAAUUACAUUACUUAUAAAGUUAUAUUUUAUAAUUUCACAAAAAACAAUAGUGAAAAUCAUAAUUUAAAUUAUGUUUUUAAAUAUUUUUUAAAUAAAAAUGCAUUCACUCACAAUUCAGUUAAUAUGGAGUAGGAGUUAACCGUCAAUGAAAGGCAGUCGUUGAUAUAGAGACGUGACUUUAUAUGCUCUAUUGUUUUUACUCUAACAAGUGGAUUAAAUGCUAUUUUCUCUCCCUUUAAUUUAUAUGGUUUAUCUUUUUUAUAACCAAUCUUAAAAAAAUGACAUUUUUCUAUAUUUAAUAAUUAUUUAACUUUAAACUUUUCAUUUUAUCAUUAAUGAAAUGAUUUAUAACCACACAAAUUCCAAAAAAAAUUUAUGAGUUAUUUUUGCCAACAAGUUCCAAUUUUUUUUAUUUUAAAAAAUAAAAUGGAACACUAUAAUAUACACAGAGACAAUGGUUUAAUUUGUAAUCUUUUAUAAAGUUGAUUUUUAGUUUUAUGUCAUUUGUAUAAAAAAAAAAAAUAUACAUACAAAAAACUGAAACAAUCAUUUUCUUCGUUUCAGUUGUAUAAGUAGUAAUAAGAAAUUAUGUUCUUCAUGUGGUGUAAAAUCUGGUACACAAUAGGAACAUUAAAAUAUUUAAUUUCACUAUUUUAUUUUAAAUGGCUUUUUCCUUCUUCUUAUUUAACAAUUUUAAGAAAAGGAUACCUUAUUUUUAAAACUUACAGUCAAUAAAAAGAAACAAAAUAUAAGCCAUGUACAAAUUGAAGAAAAUAUUAAAACUAGUUUAAGGACAUGAUUGAAGAUAAGAACAUGGUCAAACCGUCAAAUUCAGAAAAGAAAUUAGAAUUUUAAUUUUAUGAAUUUUAAAUUUUAUAAUAAUAAAUUUAAAUAUGAUAGCAAUUAAUAGCCGCAGUUCAACAAGUGGAACAAAUGGUGUUGAUAUAAACCACCCAAUGUACGAAGAAUUCAUGGAUUUUAUGAGAUCCAAGAAGGAAUCAGAUAAUAAUCCACCAACAUAUUCCACCAUUCUCAUGGAUGAUGAAAACAUAGAAGUAUUUGAUUUGAAUGACAAAAGAGAAGUUAUACUUCUACUUGAAAACGGUGACCUAAGAUGGAAAAAUGAAUCAUGGCAGGUAAUGUCCAGAUAUCUGGAUACAAUAUGUUAUACUACUACUGUGUAUAAAUACAAAAUGUAUUAUGAGAUAAUACUCUCUGCCAUAGGAUCAUGUGAAUUUCAACACUUCUACCCACCAAACACAAAAAAAGAUUAUAACUUUUCUAAGAUGAUUAUUAAAAAGAUCUUAGCACCUGAAGAAUGGGGUAUGAGCCCUUUGAAGGAAAUGGAUUAUAUCCAUCCUGAACAAAAAGUCGCAGUAAAAUAUAACUAUUGGAUUACAUUGAUGGCUUUAAUAAAGCAAUGUUAUAUGAAAAUGCUAAUAAGAAGCAUUCAUGGUUUAUCAAGAUAUGUUGUAAUAUAUUUGGAAGUAUAUUCCGAAUUGGUUCUGCAAACGGUGGACAUUAUAUGGUCCUUCAGUGAAAAUAUUACCUGAGUCAUAUAAAAAAUUAUAUUCAGAAUGGGCAGAUAUCUCCCCAAAAAUUAUAAGUUUACUAGAUGAUAAUAUAUUCUUUGAAGGAAUGUCAAUAAUGUAUUUCUUUAUUGAAUUUUCUAUUCCAUGGAUCAUGAAAUGGUCGGUAGAAGUUAAUACCACUUCCGAUGGAUUCCCAUGUUUACAAAGGACAUUUUAUACCAAGUUCUGGAGUAAACUAUUACAGAAGGACCAGGAAGGAAAGGUUCAUGGUCAAGAAAUUCUUGAUUCAAUAAAUGGAAAAUUAGCACAUAUUAUGAUAUUGCUACUUCAGAACCACAGGUGAUAGAGGAUCUGAGUCCAUUUAAGAAGAUCACAAGAAAACUUCAAAUGAAGAAAGGUCUGAUUUUGAAAUCAGAAGCCAUAGCUUUGAAUAUGGAAGAAGUGAAAAAAUAUUUAAUGAGAAAUCUUGAUAUUGAAAUCAAGGAUGUAUCUCCAUGAUAAUUGCAUAGCUGGAGAGGGACAAGAUGCUGAUGAAGAGAUCGAUAUUAGACUCUUUUACAAAAAUAUCAACAACAGAUAAAAGAAUCUUCUAGCACCAGCAUCGUUGUCAAAGGGAAAAAUAAAGAAUGAAAACCCCACAGAUAGCGUAAUGAAAUACUCUAAUAGAGUUGUCGGCCACAUGUAAUAAAGCCAAAAUACUUUUAUAAAGUAAUAUUAGCGGAAGUCGAAAGUAAUGUCGGCUAGUAAAAUAAUGCAAGGUCAUAUGGGUGUGUCGGCCUUAUCGUUUUAUUAAUGGCCAUUGAAAAAGUGUGGGCCAGUACCUUUUUGUAAUUUUUAACUUUUAAAGAUUCCUCUCAUAUCUAUAUAAGGAGAGGAAAUGUGUGUAGUUAGAGGCAGAUUUUAGAACCCCCUCUCUCUCUUGUACUCUAAAUAAUUUUCUUUGUAAAAUUUUCUAAGUAAUUGAAUAAAAGUUUGCAAUUUGGUUGAUCUGCUGGGAGUUUGUCUUAAGGUACUUUUCUUAUUUUAUUUACUUCUUUUUAUGUAUUAGACCCAAAUGAUGGGAUAAACUAUUUGUGUUGAGUUGUAGCAUACUAAGUUACUAUAAUAACUGGUGUAUGUUGCUAUCAUGAAGAUAGUUUGAACAGUCAGAUUAAGGUCAUAAAUAGAUUACCCAGGCAUAGUUAUGAAAAAUCGCUGCAUUGAUUUAUUGUAUUACCCGUUGGAUUAUCCAUGUGGAGGGUGGACCCGAAAGGACCCGGAUAGUAAGGAUUUUCAUAUACUUUUGCCAAGAUUAAUCUAUGUUCGUAAAGGUUCCUCAUAGUCUGAUUGUGCGAUCCGUUUUCACUUUGGUAUCAGAGCCAUGGAAUUAUAGUAACUAUAGGUGUUAUAGUUCAACACAGUAGGAAAAAAGAGUAUGAUAUACCUCAGCCCUUAGAUCUACUUAAUAAUUGGACUAUUCCUAGAAUAUCACCUAUAAUCAUAUAUCAUAUGGGUACUUUCGAGAAGCUUGGUCUCAAACAGGUGGUUAAAACCACGGGAGAAACUAUCACUAUUGAUAGUGAUAAUCAGACUUUUAAAUUAUUAUCUGAAAAUGAUUUAGCCCCUUAUAGGGAUAUUUACCGUUUUAUGCAUAUUGGUUUAGUACAAGUGGCCUUUAAGCCCCUUACUUUACGUGGACUUCUUGAAAGCUUUAUAGCAGUUUUACGUGAUGGUAGAAAUUAUAACUGGAAGAAAUCUCUUAUAGGAACUAUACAAACUCGUCUAGCUUAUGGACCAGUUUAUUUUAAUGUUUAUCCUAACUUGCAGAUUUCCUUGCAGGAUGAGAACUCAUUAAGUUCGCUCAUGUUAAAUGUUAAACAUCAUGGUUAUGAUUAUAUACCUGGAAUUGAAGUUGUUUUUAUUUGUUAUAGAAUUUAUUAUAAACUUUUGCAUACUUUAAAUCCUAUGUGCAAAAUGAUUGAUUUCAAAAAUGAGACUAUUUUGAUAGAAACUAAUUUUGAUAAAUCUAAAGUAGUCACUAGAAGACCUAUCAAGUGGGAAGAAAUUGAUUUUCCACAAGAAUGGGUUAUUGAAAGUGCUACUCAACCCAGAAAUAAUAUUAAUUCGGAGAUUUCUGAAAUUGAACAGUUGAAUGAUGGAACUGUUAAAAUUAAAUUUUCUGAUAUUUCUGAUGUGCAUGAUAGAAUUGAGAAUCGUAGCAUAUCUUCUAGAAUGACUAGAUCUAAUUCCUCUUACAUUUCUAAUAUUGAUUAUAUUGUGCAAGCUCCUUCUCGUGCUUCUACUUCUCAAAUUAGAGAAAGUUAUAAUAUAAAAAUUGAUAAAGAUAACAUUGCUCGACCUAUUUCCAGGGCUAGCUCAGAUUUAGAUAUAACUGAAUUUGAAAUGAAUUUUCCAGAUGGAUUGACGACAUGAAAUUUGUUUUAUGAUGUCUGACAAACAAAUUGAUUUUAGUCCGGGUUCACCGGCAAGAGACAGAAUCGCUAAAGAUUUUCAGCGAAAGAAAUGGAAACUUUUCAGAAAAUGGUUCUUCAAAAAUUUUAAUAAAAAAGAACAAUAUGAUUUUCAUGAAGAAUUUUAUAAAGAUAUUAUGGACUCAGAAAUAAAUCGAUUAGUUGCUUUUGUUCCUUGAUUUAUGUGCAAGCAUGUUCAUAACUAUAUUUCUAUGUUAGAGAAAGAUUUUACUCUAAGCAAUGGAGAAAUUACUAAAUCAAUUUUUCCUCCGCAACAGUCUUUUCAUAUUAAUAGAAAUGAUAAGGUUGUUAACUUUAAUGCUUUUUCAAAAUUGUUUGAAAAUGAUACUGCUUUAGUUACUACUAGUCAUGUCAAUGCCAUGAUUAAGCAGAAUAACUAUGCAAACAUUUAUAUGAGCAUAUUGGGUGAACAUAUUGUUUCUUUGCAUGAUAAAGUUGAUAAACUAAUCUCUUUGUUACCUACCAAGAUGAAAGGUAAGGAAAAGAUGGCUCAUAGUAGUCUACAACCCCCACCAGUUAUUGAUAAUUUCAAGAUUAAAGAUUAUUCAGAUCUUGAGGAUUUCUUGGCAAAGAAAUUCAAAGGUGGUAGUCUCCAGCCUAUUAAUGCUAGAGACUUAUCUGAAGGAGAAACUAGUCAUAAGAAGGAAUUUUUUGAUGGUAUUAAUAAGAUCUCAGAAAACUAUGCUAGGAAACCAGUCCAAAGGAUGUAUUACUACCCUAGACCUACUCCUCAAGAUGCUUUGUUGGAGGAACAUGAACAUAUUAUAACUAAUAGUUAUAAUGGAAAGGAAAUCUAUGAAUGGAACAUAGACGGGUAUACAGAUAGGCAAAUCUAUACAACUGCUCGUCAAAUGUUGAUGUACAGCACUAUCUGUAAGAUUAAUAAAAAUAGUGAUAAGACUAUUGCUGAUAUGAUCACUGCAGGGUUUACAGGUCAAUUGAAAGGAUGGUGGGAUAACUAUCUCAAUCAAGAUCAAAGGGACAAGAUUCUCCAAGCAGUUCAACAAGAAGGAGAACAGUAUACUCAGAACGCAGUUUAUACAUUGGUCCUGAAUAUUAUAGAACGCUUCUCCGAAAGAUGGUCAGAUAAUAGUGAGACUAUUAGGACUCUGUUACAAAACCUUAGGUGUAAGACCCUUACAUCAUUUAGGUACUACAAGGAUGUUUUCUUAUGUAGAGUAAUGGAGUUACCUGAGUGUAAUAGCACUCAUUGGAAAUCAAAAUUUAUAGAUGGGUUACCUACUCUUUUUGCUGAAAGAGUAAGAAAGUCUUUAAGAGGAAACAAUACAAGUAUAAUUAUGAGGAUUAUACCUAUGGAAAACUUAUAAGUGCCUGCGUACAGGAAGGACUUUGCUUAUGCAAUGAGAUAAAGUUAAACCAAUAGAUGAAGCGACAUCGCUUAAAUGAAAAACAAUAAUUAAGAGAAUUUUGUGAACAAUUCGCAUUUGAUAUUCCUAAACAAAAGUCUAAGGACAAGGAAUAUACUCCUAAGAAAAAUAAAUCUUCCAAAAAGGAUUAUGAAAAAUGAAAGAAAAAGAAAAUAGAAAAGAAGCUUAGAAGAGCUGAAGAAGGUAAAUGAGACGCUUCUAAGAGAAAGAAAAAGUAUCUCCAUAAUUAUAAGAAGUCGGAUACUUGCCACAAAUGUGGAAGAUUUGGUCAUUAUGCAAAAGAUUGCAAAGUCAAGGAAAAGAUUAAAAGCCUUGAUGUAAGUGAUAGCAUAAAAAAUUCUCUUUAUAAGAUUAUUCUUAAUUCUGAUUUAGGAAGAUCAGAAUCAGAAGAUAGUAGCAGUGAUGAGUCCUCAACAAGUGAAGAUCUUAAGGCCCUUCAACAAGAAGAUUAUAUAACUUCAGAGGAUGAAUGUUCACCUUGUCAACAAGGUUUACAGUGUGAAAAGGAUGAAGAAGAGGAUGAUCUUUAUAAGAUCUAUUCUCAAUUUAAGGAAUUAAGUCUGAAUGUCAUUGAUAAUGACAAAGUACUAGAACUUUUACAAAGCAUUAUUAAUGAUCCAGAGAUAAGAGCUCAGCUUAUUGAUAAAAUCAGUAAUAAUACUCUAGUUAAGGAUCAUACUCCUAAGGAAAUCCCAACCAAAGAAGGUUCAUAUACCAUGGCAGAGGUUAAAAAUCUUCUACUAGAAAGGAGAAAGAUUAUAAGUUCUCCUACUACUAUUAGUGAUUUGAAGGAUGAGAUUAGUAAUCUCAAAGAAGACAUUGUUCGUCUUAAAGAAAAGAAUGUCGCUAUUGAGGCAAGACUUGAUGCUAUUCAAAGUCUCCAGGAUUUGGGUAAUGCCUCUGAUUCGUCAUCUUCUCUUGGAGGAGAAAACAAUAGUCUUGAUUUUAUGAAAAAUAAUAAAACAGAUUUUUUGCAUAGUCUUAAAGCUUUUACUUCUCAGAAGUUUUAUACAAAAAUCACUUUGCUUAUAGACUAUAUUUAUAAAAGAGAAUUUAUAGCUCUUAUUGACAGUGCUAUUGAUUUAAACUGUAUUCAAGAAGGACUUAUACCUUCAAGAUAUUUUCAUAAAACUACUCAUAGUCUUCGUUCUGCUAAUGGUAGCAAAAUGAAUAUUGAAUUUAAAUUACCAAAAACUUUUAUUUGUAAAGGAAAGAGUUGUGUUCCUCAAAGCUUUGUUUUAGUAAAAAAUAUCACCAACCAAAUUAUUUUGGGUGUCCCUUUUAUAAAUGAUAUUUUCCCUCUUACUCAUUGGGAUAAUAAUAAAAUUAUUGGAACUUGGAAUAACAACCCUUUCAUACUUGAGUUUGUUACAAAACCUUUUACUAGAAUGAUAAAUGAUCUGACUGCAAAAUUGAUUUUAAAAAAUAAUCCAGUUAGUUUUAUAAAACAAGAAAUCAAUAGUAUAGAAGUUGAUCAUAUUUUACAAAAUCCUAAAUUACAGGAAAAAAAUAAUAUUUUAAAUAGUCAAUUCUCUCUUGAUAUUUGUGGAGAUCAUCCUAAUACUUUCUGGAACAGGAAGAAGCAUGUAGUUAGUCUUUCAUAUGAAGAUAACUUUGAUGAGAUUAAUAUUCCUACUAAGGCUAGGCCAUGUCAAAUGAACUCAGAAUAUUUAGAGUUGUGCAAAAAGGAAAUCAGUUCCUUGCUUCAGAAAGGACUUAUAAGGUAGUCUAAGUCACCAUGGUCUUGUACGGUGUUCUAUGUUAAUAAACUUGCUGAGCAAGAAAGAGGAGCGCCAAGAUUGGUAAUAAAUUACAAACCGCUUAAUAAAACUUUACGAUGGAUCAUGUAUCCAAUUACUAAUAAGAAAGACUUAUUGGAUAGAGUUUAUGAUGCUACUAUAUAUUCUCUAAGUUUGAUCUGAAAUCAUGUUAUUGGAAAAUUCAGAUAGGUUCAAAACUGCUUUCAAUGUGCCAAUGGGACAAUUUGAAUUGAACGUUAUGCCUUUUGGUUUAAAAAAUGCUCCAUCAGAAUUCCAAAAAAUGAAUGAUAUUUUUAUACCUUAUAGCAAUUUUAUAAUUGUUUAUAUAGAUGAUAUCUUAGUAUUCUCCAAAAAUGUGGAAACUCAUUUUAAACAUCUUGAUUUAUUUAAAAAGAUUAUUACUCAAAAUGGUUUAGUUUGAUCUCAACCUAAGAUAGCAUUGUUUAAAACAAAUGCCAGAUUCCUUGGUCAUAAUAUUGAAAGAGGAAAUAUUAGUCCUAUCAAUAGAAGUAUUGAAUUUGCUUCUAAAUUUCCUGAUAUUAUUACUAACAAGACACAAUUACAGAGGUUUCUUGGAAGUCUUAAUUAUGUUGCUCCUUUUAUAAAGGAUUUAGCAAAAGACUCAACUGUUUUUUAUGACAGGUUGAAAAAUAAUCCUAAGGCUUGGUCAAAUUACCAUACGGAAGCAGUUAAAAGGAUUAAAGAGAAGGUUAAAAACCUUCCUUGUCUCACUUUGGCCAAUCCAAAUUGGGAAAAAAUGGUAGAAACUGAUGCUUCAAAUAUAGGAUAUGGUGGUAUCGUAACACAAUAUUGUCCUGAUAAUAAACGACAUUAUAUUGUACAAUUUUAUCUUGGCAAAUGGAACACAGCCCAGAAGAAUUAUGCCACUGUAGCUAAAGAAAUACUGGCUAUAGUGAAAUGUGUUCUUAAAUUUCAAGGCGGUCUUUAUAACCAAAAAUUCAGACUGAUUGCCAAACAGCUAAGUUUAUGUUUAACAAAGACUGUAAGCAUGAUGUUUCUAAACAGAUGUUUGCUAGAUGACAAGCUUUGUUGGCUCCUUUUGAUUUUGAAAUACAGUAUAAAAAAGGGGAAGAUAACAGUCCUCCAGAUUUUCUCACUCGAGAAUAUUUAGAUUAAUCUAAAUUGUUUUUCUUUGACAGGAUGAGCUUAAGACCAUCAGGUCCCUCUCCAAGGAAAAGAGGAGGAAGGGGAAGAAGUAAUUCAGGAAGAAGAGGCCAUAUCCUCGUCCAACAUGGAAAUAAGAAAUUGAUAGCAGCUAAUAGCAGCAGUUCAACAAGUGGAACAAGUGGUGUUGAUAUAAACCAUCCAAUGUACAAAGAAUUCAUGGAUUUUAUGAAAUCCAAGAAGGAAUCGAAUAAUAAUCCACCAUCCUCUUGGAUGAUGAAAACAUAGAAGUAUUUGAUUUGAAUGACAAAAGAGAAGUUAUACUUCUACUUGAAAACAGUGACCUAAGAUGGAAAAAUGAACCAUGGCAUGUAAUGUCCAGAUAUCAGGAUACAGUAUGUUAUAUUACUACUGUGUAUAAAUACAGAAUGGAUUAUGAGAUAAUACUCUCUGCCACAAGGUCAUGUGAAUUUCAACACUUCUAUCCAGCAAACACAAAAAAGUUUUAUAACUUUUCUAAGAUGAUUAUUAAAAAGAUCUUAGCACCUGAAGAAUAGGGUAUCAGCCCUUUGAAGAAAAUGGAUUAAAUCCAUUUCCUGAACAAAACGUCGCAGUAAAAUAUAACUACUGGGAUUACAUUGAUGGCUUUAAUAAAGCAAUGUUAUAUGAAAAUGCUAAUAAGAAGCAUUCAUGGUUUAUCAAGAUAUGCGGUAAUAUAUUUGGAAGUAUAUUCCGAAUUGGUUCUGCAAAUGGUGGACAUUAUAUGGUCCUUCAGUGAAAAUAUUACAUGAGUCAUAUAAAAAAUUAUAUUCAGAAUGGGUAGAUAUCUCCCAAAAAUUAUAAAUUUACUAGAUGAUAAUAUAUUCUUUGAAGGAAUGUCAAUAAUGUAUUUCUUUAUUGAAUUUUCUAUUCCAUGAAUCAUGAAAUAGUCGGUGGAAGUUAAUACCACUUCCGAUGGAUUCCCAUGUUUACAAAGGACAUUUUAUACCAAGUUCUGGAGUAAACUAUUACAGAAGGACCAGGAAGGAAAGGUUCAUGGUCAAGAAAUUCUUGAUUCAAUAAAUGGAAAAAUUAGCACAUAUUAUGAUAUUGCUACUUCAGAACCACAGGUGAUAGAGGAUCUGAGUCCAUUUAAGAAGAUCACAAGAAAACUUCAAAUGAAGAAAGGUUUGAUUUUGAAAUCAGAAGCCAUAUCUUUGAAUAUGGAAGAAGUGAAAAAAGAUUUAAUGAGAAAUCUUGAUAUUGAAAUCAAGGAUGAUAUCUCCAUGGCAUCAGCCAGCCAUACAAAUGAUGAUGAUGAUAAUUGCAUAGCUGGAGAGGGACAAGAUGCUGAUGAAGAGAUCGAUAUUAGACUCUUUUACAAAAAUAUCAACAACAGAUAAAAGAAUCUUCUAGCACCAGCAUCGUUGUCAAAGGGAAAAAUAAAGAAUGAAAACCCCACAGAUAGCGUAAUGAAAUACUCUAAUAGAGUUGUCGGCCACAUGUAAUAAGGCCAAAAUACUUUUAUAAAGUAAUAUUAGUGGAAGCCAAAAGUAAUGUCGGCUAGUAAAAUAAUGCAAGGUCAUAUGGGUGUGUCGGCCUUAUCGUUUUAUUAAUGGCCAUUGAAAAAGUGUGGAUCAGUACCUUUUUGUAAUUUUUAACUUUUAAAGGUUCCUCUCAUAUCUAUAUAAGAAGAAGAAAUGUGUGUAGUUAGAGGCAGGUUUUAGAACCCCCUCUCUCUCUUGUACUCUAAAUAAGUCUUUUGUAAAAUUUUCUAAGUAAUUGAAUAAAAGUUUGCAAUUUGGUUGAUCUGCUGGGAGUUCAUCUUAAGGUACUUUUCUUAUUUUAUUUAUUUCUUUUUAUGUAUUAGACCCAAAUGAUGGGUUAAACUGUUUGUGUUGAGCUGUAGCAUACUAAGUUACUAUAAUAACUGGUGUAUGUUGCUAUCAUGAAGAUAGUUUGAACAGUCAGAUUAAGGUCAUAUAUAGAUUACCCUGGCAUAGUUAUGAAAGAUCGCUGAAUUGAUCCAUUGGAUUACCCAUGUGGAAGGCGGACCCGGACGGACCGGAUAGUAAGGAUUUUCAUAUAUAUACUUCUAUCAGGAUUAAUCUAUGUUCGUAAAGGUUCCUCAUAGUCUGAUUGUGCGAUUCGUUUUCACUUUGAUAUCUUUAAAUUUUAUAAUAAUAAAUUUAAAUAAUCAUAAUUAAAUUUUAAAUUUAAUAUUUAUAUAUAUUUAAUUAAUUUAUUAUUUGAAUAAAAUCUACUGAAUUCGAACAAUCACAUAUGAAUCACUAACUUCGUCCUGGUCAAAUAUCUAGUCCCUUUCAUCAUUCUCACAUUGUAAUUAAUCUUCUAGAAAAGUUGUGUACCCUUUCGUUUUCUUAACCCGCCACUAAAAGCCGGCUUGGUUGUAAAAAUUAUAUUUAUAAAAAAAUUUAUUUAAAAAUUAGUAUUUGUCAUGAACUUUUUAAAAUUUAGCUUAAAGUGAAAAUUUGCUUUUAUAUUAUUUUUAACUCUUUUUUAUUUUUGAAAUUCUAUUUAAAUACAUUUAAAUAUUUUCCGCAAUAAGUAUAAUUAUAUAUAACUCAAUCCUCAAUUUUAACUCUCUAAAUUUCAAACAAAGUGAAAAUAUUUGAAAUAUAUAGUCAAGUACAAAAAAUAAUAGUUCUAGUUUUAUCUUUAAUAUGAUCGCUUAGAAAAUUUUAAUCUUAAUGACACUUGUGUUUCCAAUCGAUAAGUAAACUCAUUCAAUAGUUUUAUUAAGUAUUUUAUAAGUAUGAAAUGCGGAUUGCAAAAAUACGAGACCCCGGGACAUUGGCUUCCGCCAACAGUGAACUAUUAAGGAUCGACCUAAGAAUUGAUUGAUGUCAUAAAUACAAGAGCUUCUAAAAUGCGAUGAAAAUCUGAAACUAAAAUGAUAAGUCUAGACGUAAGAAUAUCUAGUCUGAAUAAUAAUAAAAAAAUGGAGGAAGGUAUGGGCCACGAAUAGCCAAGCAGCUCACCACAACUCAAAGAUACUUAAGCUCUGACUCGAAAAGUUCCACGAGAUGCGCUUGGAUUCGAAAUGAAAUUUGCACCACAAAAGAGUACAAAAGGUGUAGUAUAAGUAUGAAACAACGUGUACUCAGUAUGUCUCAUAGACCGAUAACAAAGAAGUAAUGACAGGAGUAUAUAAGAAAUCAUUCUGUAAUAUUACAAGUCUACAUUGUACUUAUUAGUCAACUUUCACCAAAAAGGGAUAAUCAAAUGUCACGUAAUGCCCAAACCUCAAUGAAGCACACAAUCAAACAAGAAUAAACUAUAUGAUGAGAUGUAAUGCAAAACCAUGAGAUGAUAUGCAUCAAAAUGCCAUGUGAUCUCUUAAUCGUAUAUACAAAUACUUCUCGUAAAUUCUUUGAGAGUUUGUGAUCAAUGGUGCAUUUCCACGUGCCUGUGCAGACGACCUUAACGCACUAUCAUAAAAUCAAAUCAUCUCCAACACAGAGGAUCUCCACAUGCCUAACUCAUAAUCACAAAACGAUCUCAACACAGAGGAUCUCCAUUUGUCAGACCCUUGCUCAUACUCAAUCUCAUCUCAAUACAUAUGCACAAUAUAAUAUCAACAAAAUAGGAGAUGAUGCAUCUCAACCAAUCAAAUGUCGGUAUGACAUAUAAUAAUCUCAAUUAGCACAAAUAUAUGGGUUCAAUAAUAAGCACAACCACAUAAAGGAAAUCAAGUCAUGAAUAAUACAUCAGUUAAUGCCCACAUGCUUUGGCAUUCUCGGAUUACAAUUCAUCAUGUUAUAGUAAUAAACUUUUCAUUUGAUAACGCUUAUACUCAUACCAAUGUCCGUCACACUAUUGGUACAAGAUCCCCAUCUUUCGUCCUUAUCUAUUAUCUAUUUCAUUUUUAAUCUUUAAUUAGAAAAAAACGUCUAUCAACAAAGUCUGAAAGUCUUAACAUACCUCAAAGGUUGAACACACCAAUCCUCAAGAUUUCACCGUUCCCUUUCGUAAAGCUUUCGCACGUUCCUAAUCUAUCAAAUAUGCAUUAUUUGUAAGUAAACGAGUCCAUAGACGAGUCUAAAUUUAUAAUCAAGCAUGAAUCUUGAUUUCAAUUAAUAGGUCAAAUCUUAUAUUUCCUAAAUUUAAAAUCUGAGGUUAAGUCUCAAUUCCUCAAAUAUCAUAAAUCUAAUGAUAUUCAUAUAAUAUGAUAAUACACCUAAUAUUUAAUUAUAUAUACCAAUAUAUCAAUAUUUGAAUUAUAAUAUAAUAUCGUACAACAAAAUUAUAACUACCAAAGAACAAACUUAUACAAAACUAAGCUAUAUCAAGAACCGCAAUUAUGAAAUAUUAUAUACAAAACUGAAACUCAACAAUUCAAUCCUACCUAUCAUCAUGUCCUAAUUAUUAUCUCAUAAUUAUCCUAUAAUUAUUGUAAUAAUUACCUAAUAGUUGACCAUUUUUUAGAAACUUUCACAUAUAUAGCAAACAUAAAAAUCAUAUUUAUAUGUUAUAACUAUAGUUUGCAUAAUUGCGCUUCAUAGCAAAUUUUAUGUUUGCACUGAAGCUUUUGACUUGUAUAAUUCGCUAGAUUCAUCCAAUUUAUAUACAAAUUGUUCAGUUUUGUAUAAAUUUAUUUAUACAAUUGGAUAAUUUGUAUAUAAAACGUUUCAGUUUUUUCUAUUUUAGGUUUAGCAAAUAUAAAAAUCAUAUUUGUAUGUUAUAGCUAUAAUUUGCAUAAUUGCGCUUCAUAGCAAAUUUUAUGUUUGCACUGAAGCUUUUGACUUGUAUAAUUCGCUAGAUUCAUCCAAUUUAUAUACAAAUUGUUCAGUUUUGUAUAAAUUUAUUUAUACAAUUGGAUAAUUUGUAUAUAAAACGUUUCAGUUUUUUCUAUAUGUGCAUAUGUAUACAGUCAUGUUCGUAUUUAAUUAUGAUAAUUGCAUUUGUAUAGUAGAUAUUAUUUAUAUAUGUAUACGUGUUUUUUGUUAGGCUUGCAUGUCCAUUGUAUAUGUACAUAUAGCUGUAAUUUGUAUAUGUACGUGUUCUUUGUAAGUCUAUAUGUUAAAAUCUAUAUGCAAAUCUCUCUCUCGCUUUAUACAACACAAAUUAUACAUUGUAAUUUAUAUAAUAUGUAUUUGUAUAAAGCGAGAAAGAGAGAAAGACAAAAGAGAAUUUGUAUAAUUAAAAGUGUAUAGAACAAAAAUAAAUAUAUUUGUAUUUGUAUAUACAUUUUUCUCUCACUUUAUACAAACACAAACGCAUUUUAUACAUUUGUAUACCGAAUGGGUAAUUGUAUACCGAAAAUGGCUAAAUGUAUACCGAACUAGAUGGCAAAAAAAUAGGAUAUUUGCUGCGAAUUACAAAUAAAUUAAACUAUGGCUACAACAUUUAAUUUAAAUUAAUACUUUGCUAUUUCAUACAAUUUUCCCCAAAAAGUUUCACAAUAAUUAUAGAAAACCCAUGUUAACAGCAACAAUUUUUCAAUCCAAUUUCUUGCUGGUCAACCCCACACUAAUAAUGUCAACAAUUUCCCAACAUUUAUAAUGCAUUCUAUUUAAUAGGAAUUGCUUCGUACAUGUUCGCCAUCGUUUGACGCCGCACUAAAUAUUGUUGUCUAUUAUUUCUUCUUUCUUUUUUUGAAAAAUAAUUAUAAAUUAAAAGUGCUAAAUUUUACUAUUUUAUUUUUUUAUUUAUGGUUCAAGUGAAUUGACUCAUUAAAUAUUCAAUUAAAUUAAUUAUUUAAAAGAAUACUCAUCAAUUAUAUAAUCGUAGUUACGUUAAGCAGAUAGUUCAAAUUUUUCAUUUGAAAUUUACAGGAAACAAUGCGGAGCCAGGAUUUUCAAUAAAGGGGUUCAACAUCUAAAAAAAAAAAACACGAAGUUGCCGAAGGAGGUUCAACAUCUACUAUAUAUAUCAAAAAAAUUAUUUUAACCAUGUAUAAAUAAUAAAAUUUUCUGUCGAAGGGAACCCCUAGUAUGGUGGCUCCGCCACUGACAGGAAACGUCUUUUAUAAAAGCAAGAGUUCUACCAUGUUCAAAAUGAGAUAACAAAUCGUUACAUUGAUGAUAUUGAAAUUAUUUACGAGUGGUCGAGGGUGAACUAGAAUAAUCAAACUGGUCAUCAUGAAAAAAUUUAUAAUUUUUUGUGUCUCAUGCAAUUAAUGCAAGUCGCGUGAAAUUUUAUUUUAUUUUAUUUCUUAAAUUAGUUUACACAAAACCUUAUAUUUUUGAGUGAUUUGGGUCUAUAAGUUUUGGGCCACUAAUUGUUGAAUACAAUAUUCUAACGCUGGCUAAAUAAUAAAACUAUAAAAGUAUAUUAAGAAAAAGAUAAGAGUUCUCAUUAACCGCGAACUAGAUCCGAACACCAGGUGAAAAUACCAAAAGAAGAAACUCUUACACCUAAUUAAUUCUUUUGUAUAAACAUCACGAAUGCACAAUGAUAUUUUUAUUAUGUUAACAAAAAAAUUGACAAAGCUAAUGUUUACCAAAUAUAUAUCUAUUGGAAAGGAGAUAUGCACAAAUAUGUCAAUGUUAUUUAAGUUUAGUAGUAAUAGAGAAAAGGAUCAAAAUUGUCCCUUAUCUUUGUCUUAAGACUUAAAAUGAUCCUUUUAUUUUCAUAUGGAGCACUAAUAAUCCUUCUUCUUUGUAAAAAUAGUGCAGUUUUAAUCUGUCAAAAAAUUUCCAUCUAUCACUAACGGAAGUCGCUCAUAUGAGUGACUGCAUUAAAUUGAUAUGACCAAAUUUCUCAUUUCUAGAGGAAGAAGUGAUUAUAUUGUGAGCAGAUUUAUUCAUUAUUCAUUAUCUCUAUAUUAUUAUGGUGAGCAGAUUUAUUUAUAUAGUAAUUAUAUUGGUGUUGUCUCCAAUCUUUUGGUAGUGUUAUUUAAAAUUAAACACAAUCAAAAGUAAUAACUCAAACUGACAAAAUAUUAUUGACUUAUUGAUAAUGGUUUAUUAAAUUUAUGAUUCCGUAAAAAUAAUAGCUUUCGAAAGGAAUAAUGAAAGGGUAGAGUGUGCACACAUCUUACCUCUAUCUUCUCAGAUAAAAAUAUUAUUAUCGAAAGAUCAUUUUUUUUCUUACCUCUACCUUUUUAGAUAAAAAUAUUUUUUCGAAAGAUCCACGGCCUAAAAGGAUUUACAAUUCAGUAAUGGUUUAGAUUAUAAUUAUUUUUGUGAAUUAUUAAUUUUAUAAUGAUAUAUUUAUGAUUUUUCUUGACGAGUAACGGAUAAUUUGAUUAUUAAAUUACAAUUUUAUGCCUAUUCGGUAAUAGAAAGGUGUUAUUUUAGACGUAUUUUUUCUGAAAUUCUGGAUAACUUACAAGUUUUGCUUGAUUAGAUCAAUAGUUACAUAUUAAUAAUAUAUAUUAUUAGGUUUUUCGUAAUCUUUUCAUUUGUACUUCUGGAUAUGCAUAUUUAAUUUAGAUAUUGAUGAUAUAUUUAACUUUAUAAUAUAUAAUAUUUUGGAUGUUGCAUACUGUUGAAUUGUCACUUAACUUAAUUAUGUUUCGAUGUUUAUUUUAAUUUAAAAAAAUAACAGUUAAUUAACAAUCAAUACAUAAAUAACCCGAAGGUUGCGAGUUCGAGUCAUCAAGGGAGCAAAAGGGGUGGGAGCUCCUAGGGGAGGGUAAAAAAAGAAAGAAAAAAAGAAAAAAAAAACAUAAAUAACCCAUAUCCUAUUUUUUCUAUAAUGAUUUAGUAUUUUUAUUAAUUAAUAAAUCAAACUAAUAUAUGAGGUGAAUAUUAAUUGUGAAUACCAUGAAUCCUACGGUAGGAUUCCUACUACUUAAAAUUUAUUCAUUUGGUGACCUCAAUGAUUAAUCUUUACCAUCUUAAUGAAUGGACAAAUGGAGCUAAACGUGUAACUUGACGGAAAAUGUUUGGAAGAUUAAAACUGCACCAUUUUAUAAAGGAGGAGGACUAUUAGUGCUCCAUAAAAGGAUGAGGAUCAUUUUGAGUCUUAAGGCAAAUAUAAGGGACAAUUUUGGUCAUUUUCUCGCAAAAAUAGCUUGUUUGAUUAAAAUAUGAAGGUUGAGAGUUAAAACUUGGCCGCAUGCAAGUCGUAUGGAUACGAAAAAAUUCUUAUCUGAUUAAUUGUUCUUGACAAAAUAUCUAGUGAUAUAUUGAAGGGAAACCUACAUAAAUCUCACUAGUUUAGGAGUUAAUUACUUAGAUACACUCUAGUUUGCAGUAUUACUUAUCUUACCAGAUCUUGGUGCGUCCAGAUAUGUUCAGAUACGUCCGAAUACAUGUAUCUCAAGAUACACGAGGUCAGAUUUGUUCUAGAUACAUUGUAUCCAAAUGAAUUUCACAUGUAUCUGAGAUACAUAAAAAAUCUCAUUCACCUUUCUCCCAUCUCUGUAGUCACUCUCCUAUGUAUCUGGUAUCUCAUAUACAUGCGAAUCACACCAAAUACAUACAUAUACAUGUAUCUAGUGUGAUUCGCAUAUAUCUGGAAAGCAAAAAAAUACAUAUAUCUAAGUGUAUCUUUUUCAAUAUAUGGUAGAAAACUCUUAAUUAAUGGGAAGAUAUGUAAUAUUUUUAAGGAUAAACUACCUUAUUAGACAUACAUCACUACUAUAUAUACUAAUAUUAUCUUUACUUUCAAACAAUUACAUAUAUUACCACUUUUAAUAAUUUAUACCAUAUAUUAAUAUAUUAUUUGAAGAUACAAUUAGAUUAUUAGAUACCCACAUACCUUAAAACUAGGAUUGAUUAAUUAUCUGCUUAAUUAACUCUUUCACUCCAAAUCAACCACUAUCUCUUAAUUCUCCUCUCCCAUAUUUAUCACUCAAAUAUGUCUCCUCCUUUAUGAUUCAGGAAUUUCAUCGUACAAUUUCAUUCCAACAAUAGCUAAUCUACUCUCUUCUUUUCAAGAUAUCAUCACCAUGGCCGACAAAUUCUCUUGAACCCAAAUAUUAUUAUGUAUUGUUCAUUUAUAACUAGAUCAAAUCAAAGUAACUGCUACAGAGAAAACUUUAAUUCAGAGUGGGUCUUGAUUGUUUGUCUCCGGAAGAAAUGGAUCUUAGUUUUGAUUAUGUUAUGCCACAACGCAAAAAGGAUCAAAGGGAGUAUUGUAGAGAGUUUUUGUUUGCUGGUGUUCUUCUAAGACUUUCUUUGGUUACCGUGACAUGGAUUUGGUAGUACCAAUAUUACUUUGAUAUAGCCCUUGAAACAUGUGUAUCCAAUAAGUAGUAAUCUUAAUUAAGAUCUGAGUUGUAUUUUUAGUAAUGGAGUGUCUGGCCAUGUAUAUGUAUCCACCAUUAAAUUUUGGAUACAUGAUUUUUAACAACACAAUGAUAUUAAUGAUACGACAUAUACUCUACAGUCGUGAUUUGUUCCUAAAUUCAUGUGAUUCAACUACAUUUCAUAUUUAGAUACACAUAAUUAAAUGUAUAUGCUUAUUAUGUAUUCGAGAUACAUGUUUUUGGAUAUAACAUAUGNNNNNNNNNNNNNNNNNNNNNNNNNNNNNNNNNNNNNNNNNNNNNNNNNNNNNNNNNNNNNNNNNNNNNNNNNNNNNNNNNNNNNNNNNNNNNNNNNNNNNNNNNNNNNNNNNNNNNNNNNNNNNNNNNNNNNNNNNNNNNNNNNNNNNNNNNNNNNNNNNNNNNNNNNNNNNNNNNNNNNNNNNNNNNNNNNNNNNNNNNNNNNNNNNNNNNNNNNNNNNNNNNNNNNNNNAUCAAAUUAAUGAAUUUAUUAUUUUAAGAGUAAUAAUUUGAAAUUAAUCAAAUUGCAUUACCAAGAUAUACAUGUUUUUAUCUUAUAUUAAUAAUAUUAAUGAAUUUACUAUUUCAAAGAAUAAUAAAAUGAAAUUAAUUAUCUGUGUAUUUUGAAAAUCCUCAAUUACUCCUCUAAUUAAGGAAAUCAGUUCCAACCAAUUAAUUUAAAUAAAUAAAUAAAUUUUGUAUCUCAAUUUUAAAAUUCGACAGAUACUGCAUGUAUCUCAUGGAUUCAGACUCAUGUAUCCUAAGCAUAAAAUAUGGUAUAGGAAGUAAUAUUUGAAACUAUUGAGAAUCUUAAUAAUUAAAACCUAAACUAGUGGGAUUUAUGUGGUUUGCCCUAUUUUUAAAAGUAUAUUUGAAUACACUAAGCUGUUACAGUUGGGCCGAAUCUCAUACAAUUGGGCUGUAUUAGACUAAUAUAAAUAGGAUCCGAAUAAAGUCCAAGUCCAACAUAUCAGGACUCCCACAAAAAAAAUUAUUAGCAUAUUUUUGUUUUAAAAUGAUCCAAAGUGGUCCAAUUCAACUUUAUAUGAUUUCAAAUUUCAUAUCCAACCUUCUAAUAAUAUUUUUUUAAUAUAUUCAAUCUAAUUAAACCUGCAAAAGUUAAUGGACCCAUUUUGUAUUCUUCAAAAAUCAAGCUCAAUAAAACCUAAAUGAAAUUGGUGUUCUUCGAAAAAAAGUAAUAAACAAACCUAAACCAAAUCAACUACAAAUAAGUAAUGAGUCUUCAAUUUCUACACAUUACCAAGUAGAGGGAGAAGAGCCCGUCUGACUUAACUUAUUUUAAUUACUUUUAAGUGAAAAUAGUUUUAAAGCAUUUUUAGUUAUUCCGACGAAUUUAAAAAGUGCUUAUAAAUAUUUAAUUUAAAACUAAAAUGAUAAAAAUAAGUGAAAAAUCAAAAGUAAAAAAUUAAUUCAAACAGAAUCUAUAAAAUAAAAAGUGUUUAUAAAUGUUUUUUACCAAUAUAUAAAAUAUUAAAACUCAUAAUUACCAAACACAACAUGAGUUUUUUGUUUACCAAAUAUACGAAUCUUUUAUUCAAAUUGUAUAUAAUCACUUUUCGAAUCUUGCUAUCGAUUUUAUGUAUUAGGUUUUUGAAGUAAAGUGCAUGGAAUUUUUGUGUAUAAAAGAUGUAUGUAUAUUGUGUUUCUGAUAUAGUACAUAUAAUUAUAUAAAAAUUGAUGGAAGUAUGUAUAAAUUCUAUUAAAAUACGUAUAAAAUCUGUAAAAUAUAAAAUAUAUUGAAAUUGAUAACGAACUGUGCACAAAGGAAUAGAGCUGGACACAUGCUCGUUUUUUCAAAUCUGCUACAAAUCGUAGAAAACUUGUUAAAACUUUUUGAUAUGUUUUAUAAAUAUGGAAAUUCGAUCCCUCUCUAUUUUUAUUUUCUCCAAAUUCUUGCUUUUGAUUAAGAACACAUGUCAUAAUUUAAAAUUAAUGAUUGAAAUUUAAUUAACUAAAAUAAGUUAAUCAUUAUUAAAAUAAUUAAUUACUUUCUUUUUUUACUAGAGUAAAUUUUUACCGUGCAUGAAAUAUUUUCACUUCCUUCCUUUUAUUUUAUUUUUUAUAUUAUAUAUUAAUAAUAUAUAAGUUAAAGUAUUUUUUUAAAAAUUUGAGUGUUCAAAAGAGCCCAUGUCUAUAGACUAUACGAUAAUAGGUCCUUUAUUUUGCUUGUAAAAUUUAAAAUAUAUCAUGCAACACUUUUUAAUUUUAUUUCUGACAAAUAUUAUUUUUAAAUUUUCUUAAAAUUUUUAUUAUCAUUGGUUGAAGUUUACUUCUCAUUUUACUAUCUUUGAAUGAUAAUGUGAUCGGAAAAAAAAUCGAUGCAUGAGUAGUGCCAGCAAAAAGAGCUCAUAUUUUGGUAAUUCAUCCAAUCCGUUCAUAUUUUAAUGGGUUGGAUGAGUGAUUUUUUACAUGGGUAAAAUAUGGGUUGAUACCCAUAUUUAACCCAUAAAAAUAUGGAUAAAAUAUGGGUAAAAUAUAGAUUAGUCUAAUGGGUUAAGCUUCUAACUUUUAUUCACUCAAAAUUCAUGAUAUCACUAAAAAUAGUGUAACUUCUUUUCCUUUUUAUGUUAUUCUAAAGAACUAAUUAUUCUUCUCUAUAAUUGAAAAGGUGAAGUCUUUGACCCUCCAAAAAUGUAUAUUUUAAACGUACAUUUCUUUGUUAAUUAUAAUUAUAUUUUUUUAUUUGUUUAAUUUUAUAUUGGAUAAUAAAUGAUAGUGUAAAAUAAGCAAAUCAUGUAUUAGUAUUGACAUUGCUUAAAGUGCAUUAAGCAUGUUUUAGUCCUAAAAUGUAAAUAUUCAUUUACUUUGAAACUAAAAUAUUUUCAUCUUGUUAUUACAUAAAUUUAUUUUAUAUUGAAAAGUUAUAGGAUUUUUUUUUAUGAUACAAUAAAACUAAAUGAAGCAUUUUCAACAUUUUUCGUCUAAAAUGAAGACUAAAAUAUUUUCUCCAUAUUGAUUUCUUAAGUAAGUACUAUUUAUUCAUGAAAAUAUGGGUAAAUAUGGAUAAACUAGUAUUUUACCCAAUCCAUUUAUUACCCAAUCAAUUUUUAUCCAUAUCAAAUAUGGAUGGGUUGAAUUAUUACCCAUUUUAUGUUGACCCAUUUUUAACCCGCCCAAAUUUGACCCAACCCGCGCAUUUGCCAUCACUAUGCAUGACAAUGAUUUACUCAGGGUAAGAAGGAAUCUUUUUAAAUAUAUUUAGAAAUAAUAUAAGGCUAAGAUAUAAUAUAUAUCUAGAAUUGUGGGGUUGAAAAAAUAUUUUAGAAAUAACUAUAUGAAAGUAAUUAAUUAUUCUAACCGUGAUUAUAAUUUUACUUUGAUUAAUUAAAUUUCAAUCAUUUACUUUGAACUUGAUAUAUAUCUCUAAUUCAAGCAAAAAUUUAGAAGAAAAAAUCAGAAAAGAGCCCAAAGAGAAAUAGAUCUAGAAGCAGAAUUCAUAAAAAGUUGAUUUUUCCACAAGAAUUCAUAGUUUUUUCCACAAGAGUUUUCAUAUUGAACAAUUCAAAGCUUUGAAACUUAUAAGCAUACUGUUCUAGAAGAAAAUAUAGUUGAAAAGUACAUAAUUCAUAUUUCAGAUUUUGAUAAAGAGUACUUUGAAGUAGCCAAAAAAAUAUUUUGAAAUCAAGUCUUCAAACUUCUUGAAUUAGAUAAUAUUAUUUUAAUUUUUAAGUAUUAUAGUAUUUGUUAUUUGGCUAUAUUGAUAGUUUUUAAAUUAUUUGUUUAAAUUUUAAUACGUCAACUAGAAAAUAUAAAUCGGAUUAAUAACAUUACAUCUUAAAAAGAACUUCAAAUACUGAUAUAUUACAUUACUAGAAAAUAUAAAAUUGGCUACAAAAUUUGUGAGCAAUUUCUAGAGAUAGCUAACUGAAUUUUAUUAUAAUUUAUCGCUAUCAUGCUAAAUAAAAUUAACAUAAUUUUGUUUUAUUUAAAUAUAAAAUUUUAUUCAUCCCUAAAUUUUUAUUUUCUAGUAAUAUUUUUUUUUAAAAGUUCAAGGCAUAUUAUUAAAAGGGAAAAGGCUCAAAUAUGCCAUCAAACUUUUAGAAAAGGCUCAUUUAUAUCAUUCGUUAAAAGUUUGGCUCAUCUAUGCCAUUACCGUUUAAGAAAAGGCUCAUUCAUGCCACUAUUUUUUAACAGUGGUUUUUUAAAACCAUUUUUGACACGUGGCCAAUUAUAAUUCGGCCACGCCAUUAUUAUUUUUUAUAAAAAAAUUCAAAAUUCUGAACAAAAAUUGAAUUAAAAUAACCCAUCCAAAUUUUUAAAAUUUGGGUUGGUCUUUACUUAGAUGGGUUAUUUUAAUUCAAUUUUUGUUCAGAAUUUUGAAUUUUUUUAUAAAAAAUAAUAAUGGCGUGGCCGAAUUAUAAUUGGCCACGUGUCAAAAAUGGUUUUGCAAAACCACAGUUAAAAAUAAUGGCAUGAAUGAGCCUUUUCUUAAACAGUAAUGGCAUAGAUGAGCCAAACUUUUAACGGAUGACAUAAAUGAGCCUUUUCUAAAAAUUCGAUGGCAUAUUUGAGCCUUUUCCCUUAUUAAAAUUUAAAUUUUAAGUCAUAAAGACUUAAGCCGCCCCUAAUUUAUAGUCUUCAUUUACACUUUGUCAUUUUUAUGAUAUGAAAAAUCUAUAGCACGUGGAUAGUACCUCAUUCGACAAGCCUUUGUUUCUAGUAACUUUAAUCAUGUUUGUUUGUUAAGAUCUGAUCUAAGCCUUUACGUAAGCAAUCACGAAAGAAAUGGAACAACGAAGCUAUUAUUUUUAUUAUCAGUUAGAAUAUGACAAUUGCGACCAACUUUUUCUAGUCCCAAAUGGUAAUGUUCUAGAUUAAGUAUGUGAAUGAAGGAGUUUACUUAUUUUUUAAAAUUUAAGAGGAAUUCUGACUAUAAUAUUAUGUUAUGAUUCUUAAGAAUUUAGUGGCGUUAUAGUUUGAUUUGAUACAAAUAAGAAUUUUUUUUUUUUUAAACUUGUGAUUUAAAGUAAGUCACAAAUAUUUAUAUGACUAUAAAUAAUUUCAUUAAAAAUAAAAUGAAUACUUUAAAAUUAAAUUGUUAUUCGAUAAAAAAAAUGAGUCAUAGAAAUUGAGAUAGAGAUAGUAAUAAAUUUGAGAGAAGUAUUGAAAACACUCUUGAACUUGACGCAGAUUAUUAAUUUCGUCUUCGAACUAUUGACAGCCUUAAAGUAUCUUUCUACUUGACUAACUAAACUUAGAUACAUUUCCGAUCUGUCACAUGACAUAGCAUAGCAAGUAGUCUCAAUCUCUUGUAGGAGUAUGAAGAUCUUAAUAAAAAGCCGAGAGAAGUGUUGAAAACACCCUAAACUUGGCGAUAAUUUAGGAGUGUAUUUUUCUUAUGUUGCAAGAUCGAGGGUGUAUUUAAGCUCAGUUAAUCAAGUAAAAUAAUGUUUUUAAGAUUAUCAAUAAUUUAAGGAUGAAAAUAAUAAUUCAUGACGAAUUUAAGUGUACUAUUUUCAAUUACUUGUCCCUAAUAAAUUAUUACUAAUAAAGCGGAUGAAGAUAGGAGAGGAGGAUGGGCACCGGGUCCCACAUAUAGUGCAUUAUAAGCACCAUUAUUUUCUGAAAACAAGAAGUGAAAAAUACGAGAGGAACACCAAGCCUUCCUAAGGCUAAAAGGAGGUCUCUUUUGAGCUUUGAGGUAUUAAUUCUUAUUAACCAAAAAUCCAUCUUUAUCUGGAUAUGUUCAUUCUUGUUUUUAUUUACUAAUGUUGGUGAUCUUUUUGUGUGUUUAUUAUGGAAAAAAGAGAAGUCGUAUGUGUUUGUUUUAAUCGAAAUCACGUUGUCUACAAUCUAUAAUUUUUUUAUAUUUUAUAUGCUUUUCGUUUCAUUUUAUUUGUUUUUUUAUAUUAAAAAUAUAUUUUUUUAUUUGUUCUCUUUAGUCAAACAGUAGAAGUUUAUUAUUUUCUUCCAAUAUUAUCCUUAUCGUUAAGUAACACUACUAAAAAGAAAAUGUUAUUCCACUAUAAUUCAAAAUUGGGUGAGAUAAGAUUUGAUCAUAUUUAGAAUUGAGUUUGAGAUUAGAUUUAUAUAGUGUUUAAUUAACAAUAUAAAUUUAUCUUAAUUCUGAGAUAUCAGACCUUAUUCCGCUUACCAAACAAUCCAAUAUCAAAUUAAACUUAGAUUUUCAUUUCAGUAAUUGACAAAAGCAUCUAUGUAAUAAUCAAUUCCCUAUUAAAGUAUAAAUAGGAAGUCCAAGUUACUACUACUUCUUUUAUCCCAACUCUUUUUGGCUUUCUAUUCCAAUUAGAAUAUGGUAAAUUCCAUAGCACAUAUGAACAAUGUGGCCUGGGGAGAAAUUUUAGAAACAAAUUUUCACUUCUUAUAUAUAAACCAAAAAGUUUUCUAAUUAUUCGAACAAAUCUACAUUUUAGAUGCAGGUGUUAUUACAACUACUUAUGUGAUGUAUCGCAAUGGAGGCAACCAAAAUCUAUCAAGCCAUUACUAGAAGAAUAUUAUCAAUUUGAUGAUGAUCUAGAUAAUUCAUAAGGCAAGUUGGAAGGAUUCAAACGAAUGCAUCUAUGAGGAGAAAGAUCGAUAAACGAUCUUAAGAUAAAUGUGUUUUUUGGUACGAAAACAAGCUCUCAAAGGUGAAUACCAAAGACUAUUUGCUUGGGAUAUGUUAAAUGAUUUAGCAUGAGUCGUGGCAAGUAUUUUCAGUUGAGGUUUGAACAUUUAACGUAUAAAGUUUAAACUCCAAUUCAAAAUACUUACCACGACUCGAGCUGAACAUCUAACCUAUGCUAAGUAAGUAAUUUUUGAAAUUCAUCUUUCAAAGCUUGUUUUUAUACCCGAAAACACCUUUAUCUUGAGAUCCUUUAUCGAUCUUUCUCCACAUAGAUGCACUCGUUUGUAUCCCUCCAAUAUGUAAGUCUUUUGUAACAAACUCCUAGUCUCAAUAUAUAAUUUUG